Molecule: long non-coding RNA, 615 nt
Organism: Topomyia yanbarensis
Lineage: Eukaryota; Metazoa; Arthropoda; Insecta; Diptera; Culicidae
Exons: 3
Source: RefSeq, a predicted model, not a curated record
CUAUCUAAUUAGUGUCACUCUCAACUUUAGUGUAAAUUGCAGUUCAUUCAAGUUGUAAAACUGCCGAGCCCAAACCAUUCAUCAUGAUUAAGAGGCAGAGUAUUAUUUCGCGUUCGAAGUUCAACUUUAAGCACCAGUUAAAAGCGAUAAACUUCGCCGAUGAUCCCAAAGUAGAAACAGCCUAUUCAAGCACGCGUAGCUAACAGGUCUUUGGAGGAAUUGAAAUCAUAAAAAUCUGCAUUCAGCACGUUUAAAAUUUACGUUAUUUCUUCAAUGACUGAUAUCGAAUAUUAGAUCAAAGCUUCCAGAUUACCGGGUGCAUGUGCAAAUGAGGGCUAUUAGAAAAAGCAUGCACCGCAAGAAGGCAGUCGCGCUGCAUGAAAGAUCACAGGCGCAGCAUGUUCGACGGAGUCAAUGGAGUUUUCAUCAAACCAAUCAGCAGAGGUGCUAAAGAGGAGGAUGCUGAAGAUUUUCAAGGGACAGUGGAAAGAUGCAGUAGGACUAUUACUUCAUCUGACUGCCGGUGUGACAGAUUUCGCCACUGCAAAUUUCCACGAGACUAAACGACCAACCAAACUGACAGAUGAGGUGAUUGGACUUUGGCCUCAUUCUGAU